Molecule: ribosomal RNA, 494 nt
Filed under: uncultured bacterium
Lineage: Bacteria
Description: partial 16S ribosomal RNA
Rfam family: Bacterial small subunit ribosomal RNA
Source: RNAcentral
GACGAACGCUGGCGGCGUGCUUAACACAUGCAAGUCGAACGGUGAAGCGCCUUCCUUUUUGGUGGGUGUGGAUGAGUGGCGAACGGGUGAGUAACACGUGAGUAACCUGCCCCCUUCUUCUGGAUAACCGCAUGAAAGUGUGGCUAAUACGGGAUAUUCUGGGUCUGUCGCAUGAUGGGUCUGGGAAAGAUAUUGUUUCGGUGGGGGAUGGGCUCGCGGCCUAUCAGCUUGUUGGUGGGGUGAUGGCCUACCAAGGCGGUGACGGGUAGCCGGCCUGAGAGGGUGGACGGUCACACUGGGACUGAGGCACGGCCCAGACUCCUACGGGAGGCAGAAGUGGGGAAUAUUGCACAAUGGGCGCAAGCCUGAUGCAGCGACGCCGCGUGAGGGAUGGAGGCCUUCGGGUUGUGAACCUCUUUCGCCAGUGAAGCAGGCCUGCCUCGUUUGUGGGUGGGUUGACGGUAGCUGGAUAAGAAGCGCCGGCUAACUACGUG